This 433-nucleotide ribosomal RNA is filed under the name uncultured bacterium. Its description in RNAcentral is "partial 16S ribosomal RNA". It matches the Rfam family "Bacterial small subunit ribosomal RNA", at positions 29 to 507 of the family's 1533-position model. The record is from RNAcentral.
AACGAACGCUGGCGGCAUGCCUAACACAUGCAAGUCGAACGAGACCUUCGGGUCUAGUGGCGCACGGGGGCGUAACGCGUGGGAACCUGCCCUUAGGUUCGGAAUAACUCCCCGAAAGGGGUGCUAAUACCGGAUAAUGUCUUCGGACCAAAGAUUUAUCGCCUUUGGAUGGGCCCGCGUUGGUUUAGCCAGUUGGUAGGGUAAAAGCCUACCAAGGCGACGAUCCAUAGCUGGUCUGAGAGGAUGAUCAGCCACACUGGGACUGAGACACGGCCCAGACUCCUACGGGAGGCAGCAGUGGGGAAUAUUGGACGAUGGGCGAAAGCCUGAUCCAGCAAUGCCGCGUGAGUGAUGAAGGCCUUAGGGUUGUAAAGCUCUUUUACCCGGGAUGAUAAUGACAGUACCGGGAGAAUAAGCUCCGGCUAACUCCGUG